GAAAUGCGAUAAGUAGUGUGAAUUGCAGAAUUUAGCGAAUCAUCGAAUCUUUGAACGCACAUUGCGCCCCUUGGUAUUCCAUGGGGCAUGCCUGUUCGAGCGUCAUUUCAACCCUCAAGCACUGCUUGGUGUUGGGCGUUUGUCCCGCCUACGCGCGUGGACUCGCCUCAAAGUCAUUGGCGGCUGUUCCCCUUCGGCUCGUAAGCGCAGCACAGUCGGCGCCCGGAGCUCUGGUGGGAUGGCGUCCAGCAAGCUAUAUUUUCAAGCUUGACCUCGGAUCAGGUAGGGAUACCCGCUGAACUUAAGC
This 307-nucleotide unclassified non-coding RNA is filed under the name plant metagenome. RNAcentral describes it as "partial contains 5.8S ribosomal RNA, internal transcribed spacer 2, and large subunit ribosomal RNA". The stretch from base 1 to 105 matches the Rfam family "5.8S ribosomal RNA", at positions 50 to 154 of the family's 154-position model. The record is from RNAcentral.